AACGAUACAAACGUAAAAACAGUUGAAUAAAAUGGCUUUUACGCACGUGUGUCUUCUGGUAACCUUGGUGACUUAUACUCUAAGUCUACCUUUGGCGAGGAAUAGUGAAGUUCAAAUAGUGCAAGAUGCAGUGUAUACACCUGUGGAUCCCCUAGUGAAUUUGGAUUUGAUCAAAAGCCAUCGGAUUGUGAGGAGGAGCAAGCGAGCUGGUAUCAUCCACGGCGGAGAGUGCCCUGAAGGGGAAUGGCAUUUGCCAAACGGCCAAUGUGCUCCUUGCCAAGGACAAAACAAUCCUGAAUGUGACGGAGAUGGUGAGAAAGAUGAUUACUAUGAUGAAAACGCAGUUUAAGUUGAAAUUACAACACGGGAACUAACUGUGAUAUUUUCGACUGUGUGCAAAUCCCUGUAAAAGGCAGCGCUUGCAAAAGUUUCGUGACUCGAAAUUUUUGAAAAAGUUUUGUAAAAUAAAAGCAUUUUUUCAAAAUCUACACCACUUUGCGAAUAUGGAAAAUAAAAAAAUGCUAAAAGUGAAAUAUUCCGAAAAUUACUACAUAUCUGCUGAGUUGUGAGAAGACAAGAAAAGAGAAGUUAUGCACUAAGCAAGUAGUUUUAAAUUAUAUAAUUUAUAGCAACAUGCAGGUUAUUUUUUAAAUUAGAAUUUAGGUAAUUUAUUUGAAGACAUGAUAGUAGUAGGCACUUUAAAAUUUGCAGUUCAAUUUUAUGCAGUAUUUUAGUUAUAAUUUUGCGAUAAAAAAACAAGGGAUUUAAUAUAAGUAUAGGUUAAUAAAACAUUUACGCGAGAUAAAGUUUUCGCAACUUGAGACCAAAAAAAUAUUUAAGUAUUCAAAUUACGUAUUUAUAAUGUAUUAUAAUAAAUAGUUAUUUAAACUGUAAUUAUAACUCGUAAUUUAUGGUUGCUCAAACGUAAUUUUACAUUUUAUGACUGACUGAUUAAAGAAUUUGUAGCUCUUUGAUAAACUUAUGUAUUAUAUAUCUUGAUAUUUCAAAGGGUACCUCUUUAACGAAAAUAUUUUUAAGUGUUUGUGAUUUAUAGAAAAAAAACUUUUGAAGAAAUGGAAAUGAAACACUUAUUAAUAAAAAUAUAAGGCCAUGACAACCUUGGGGGUUAAAAAGGCCACAUCGAAGCAAUUCAUCUAAAAAAGCAAUAUUACAAUUUGACAUUUGCCCAUAUAAAAGUGAAGUCAAAUAGCAAUAUUUCUUUUUUGGACGAAAUGCUUUGAUGUGGCUUUUUUGACCCCCUGUUCUUCUAUUUUUUUAAGUAGAUACUAAGUUAAUUUCAAGUUAGGUAUUUAACUAUUUAUUGUUAUUAAUAAGGAAAAUCUGUAUUUUCACCAGAGUAUGUGCAUUUUUGUACUUAUUAGUGUUAAGCAAAUAUAUUAUGACGAGCCUUUGCAUUGAUGUCGCGUAUUCAUACUGCAGUCAUAGUAAAAGUUAUAAUAGAAGAUACGUGCAGAAGGAACAUUUUUCGCAUUUUUUUUUUCAUUUGUAUGUGGCUGUGUUUUUAAGGAACAUUAAAAAUAGACUAGAAAAUAGCUAAUAUAUUAUUUUGACAUUUAUUUAUGUUUUGGAACUGUUUGUCAUUUUAUUUCCUUUAUUUUUAUAUUUGUAAAGAACUUUAUUAUUUGUAGCCUUCACUAUCUCUCCCCUUUUUCCACUCCUCCCGAUCUUGGGCUCUCUCUUUCCAUGAUGUCAACUAUGCAUCCAACUCAUCACGCCGCCAUCUUUUUCUCGGUCGGCCAUGAUGCCUUUUGACAUUUAUAGUAGUAGUAUAUUGGCACCCAUUCUGUGGUCUUCUUUGCCGCGAUAUUGCUUCCAUUCAUUUGUAAGGAAAAGAAAAAAAUAUCAUUUUACUUUUAUUUGUCGCACUUGUUUAAUUAUUGCACAAUGUGUAACUAUUAUUUUAACUUUUUUCUUU
This is a long non-coding RNA of Pectinophora gossypiella (pink bollworm), 1936 nucleotides long. RefSeq lists it as uncharacterized. Lineage: Eukaryota; Metazoa; Arthropoda; Insecta; Lepidoptera; Gelechiidae. The transcript has 2 exons. The record is from RefSeq and is a predicted model, not a curated record.